GUAGCCUAGUGGUUAGAGUGGAGGGGCGGCAGGUAGCCUAGUGGUUAGAGUGUAGGGACGGCAGGUAGCCUAGUGGUUAGAGUGUAGGGACGGCAGGUAGCCUAGUGGUUAGAGUGGAGGGGCGGCAGGUAGCCUAGUGGUUAGAGUGGAGGGGCGGCAGGUAGCCUAGUGGUUAGAGUGUAGGGGCGGCAGGUAGCCUAGUGGUUAGAGUGGAGGGGCGGCAGGUAGCCUAGUGGUUAGAGUGGAGGGGCGGCAGGUAGCCUAGUGGUUAGAGUGGAGGGGCGGCAGGUAGCCUAGUGGUUAGAGUGUAGGGGCGGCAGGUAGCCUAGUGGUUAGAGUGGAGGGGCGGCAGGUAGCCUAGUGGUUAGAGUGGAGGGGCGGCAGGUAGCCUAGUGGUUAGAGUGGAGGGGCGGCAGGUAGCCUAGUGGUUAGAGUGUAGGGGCGGCAGGUAGCCUAGUGGUUAGAGUGUAGGGGCGGCAGGUAGCCUAGUGGUUAGAGUGUAGGGGCGGCAGGUAGCCUAGUGGUUAGA
Molecule: long non-coding RNA, 529 nt
Organism: Oncorhynchus keta (chum salmon)
Lineage: Eukaryota; Metazoa; Chordata; Actinopteri; Salmoniformes; Salmonidae
Exons: 3
Source: RefSeq, a predicted model, not a curated record